Non-coding RNA from Vicia faba (fava bean), 303 nucleotides. Lineage: Eukaryota; Viridiplantae; Streptophyta; Magnoliopsida; Fabales; Fabaceae. The record is from the annotation of a GenBank genome assembly.
AUGAGUGAUUUAUCGAACGAAAAUUCAAUAACCAAUCUCUGUGGACACGAUAAAUUCUCAGAUAAAUAUUUCCAAAACUUUUGUUGUUUGCCGCUCUACCGCUCCAACACCUUCGUUUCACAGGUUUUCGAGAUCCUGGUGCAUCAUUACUCUCCUUUUCACUAUCGCUUUCUUCCUGUUGAUUUCAAAUCCAGAAAACUAAAACUCAUACAAAACCAACCCGUCUCAACAAACAUAAAGAGAGAUAUAAAUCAUAAUUUAAGCAUGAACUACAUCAUUUAUAAUGUCGGGAUUAGUUUAUGA